This 132-nucleotide small RNA is filed under the name Arabidopsis thaliana (thale cress). RNAcentral's name for it is "ATSL087680". Lineage: Eukaryota; Viridiplantae; Streptophyta; Magnoliopsida; Brassicales; Brassicaceae. The record is from RNAcentral.
AAACUCUGUAGCUGUGUUGAGCAAGAACACGAACACAAAGAGAGACAGAGAGAAGAAGAAUCGAUUAGAGCAGAACACGAAUAGGGAAGAACACGAACCGAGAGGAAGAGAAAGAGUCGAAUAGUGUUUUUU